This 439-nucleotide ribosomal RNA is filed under the name uncultured bacterium. Its description in RNAcentral is "partial 16S ribosomal RNA". It matches the Rfam family "Bacterial small subunit ribosomal RNA", at positions 339 to 795 of the family's 1533-position model. The record is from RNAcentral.
CUACGGGAUGCUGCAGUGGGGAAUCUUAGACAAUGGGGGAAACCCUGAUCUAGCCAUGCCGCGUGAGCGACGACGGCCCUAGGGUUGUAAAGCUCUUUCAGCAGGGAAGAUAAUGACGGUACCUGCAGAAGAAGUCCCGGCUAACUCCGUGCCAGCAGCCGCGGUAAUACGGAGGGGGCUAGCGUUGUUCGGAAUUACUGGGCGUAAAGCGCGCGUAGGCGGAUUGUUAAGUCGGGGGUGAAAUCCCGGGGCUCAACCCCGGAACUGCCCUCGAUACUGGCAGUCUUGAGUUCGAGAGAGGGGAGUGGAAUUCCGGGUGUAGAGGUGAAAUUCGUAGAUAUUCGGAGGAACACCAGUGGCGAAGGCGGCUCACUGGCUCGAUACUGACGCUGAGGUGCGAAAGCGUGGGGAGCAAACAGGAUUAGAUACCCGUGUAGUC